AACGCACCUUGCGCUCUAUGGCAAUCCGUAGAGCAUGCCUGUUUGAGUGCCAUGAAAUCUCCCACCCCAAGCGGUUUUUAAAUGAAACGGCUUGGCGGAUGGGGUCUGGAUGGGUGCCUCUGCCUGCGCUACCUAGCACAGGCUCGCCCGAAAUGCAUGAGCGCCUUGAGACACUUUGCAUCCGCCUCUCUGUUUGGGAGGAGGCGGCCAAGCAGUGUUUUUCUCCUGGCAUGGCAUGAUACGUCAUUUGCUAUGUCACCUAAAGGAGGAAUGUUUGGUUGUGUCUGCGUGUGCUUCAAACUUGCCUCUGUGGCACAUCCCAAUUUCACUUCUGGUCUCAAAUCAGGUAGGAUCACCCGCUGAACUUAA
Molecule: unclassified non-coding RNA, 369 nt
Filed under: Mycena sp.
Lineage: Eukaryota; Fungi; Basidiomycota; Agaricomycetes; Agaricales; Mycenaceae
Also listed under: 4 other names
Description: partial contains 5.8S ribosomal RNA, internal transcribed spacer 2, and large subunit ribosomal RNA
Source: RNAcentral